This 294-nucleotide ribosomal RNA is filed under the name uncultured bacterium. RNAcentral describes it as "partial 16S ribosomal RNA". It matches the Rfam family "Bacterial small subunit ribosomal RNA", at positions 790 to 1076 of the family's 1533-position model. The record is from RNAcentral.
GUAGUCCUAGCCUUAAACGAUGAAUGCUUGGUGUCUGGGGUUAUAAAGUCCCCGGGUGCCGACGCUAACGCAUUAAGCAUUCCGCCUGGGGAGUACGGUCGCAAGACUGAAACUCAAAGGAAUUGACGGGGGCCCGCACAAGCGGUGAAGCAUGUGGUUCAAUUCGAAGCAACGCGCAGAACCUUACCAGCCCUUGACAUGCCACGACGGUUUCCAGAGAUGGAUUCCCUCCCCGCAAAGGGGGCGUGGACACAGGUGCUGCAUGGCUGUCGUCAGCUCGUGUCGUGAGAUGUU